This 679-nucleotide ribosomal RNA is filed under the name Escherichia coli. Its description in RNAcentral is "bacterial SSU rRNA". It matches the Rfam family "Bacterial small subunit ribosomal RNA", at positions 1 to 669 of the family's 1533-position model. The record is from RNAcentral. Lineage: Bacteria; Pseudomonadati; Pseudomonadota; Gammaproteobacteria; Enterobacterales; Enterobacteriaceae.
AAAUUGAAGAGUUUGAUCAUGGCUCAGAUUGAACGCUGGCGGCAGGCCUAACACAUGCAAGUCGAACGGUAACAGGAAGCAGCUUGCUGCUUUGCUGACAAGUGGCGGACGGGUGAGUAAUGUCUGGGAAACUGCCUGAUGGAGGGGGAUAACUACUGGAAACGGUAGCUAAUACCGCAUAACGUCGCAAGACCAAAGAGGGGGACCUUCGGGCCUCUUGCCAUUGGAUGUGCCCAGAUGGGAUUAGCUAGUAGGUGGGGUAACGGCUCACCUAGGCGACGAUCCCUAGCUGGUCUGAGAGGAUGACCAGCCACACUGGAACUGAGACACGGUCCAGACUCCUACGGGAGGCAGCAGUGGGGAAUAUUGCACAAUGGGCGCAAGCCUGAUGCAGCCAUGCCGCGUGUAUGAAGAAGGCCUUCGGGUUGUAAAGUACUUUCAGCGGGGAGGAAGGGAGUAAAGUUAAUACCUUUGCUCAUUGACGUUACCCGCAGAAGAAGCACCGGCUAACUCCGUGCCAGCAGCCGCGGUAAUACGGAGGGUGCAAGCGUUAAUCGGAAUUACUGGGCGUAAAGCGCACGCAGGCGGUUUGUUAAGUCAGAUGUGAAAUCCCCGGGCUCAACCUGGGAACUGCAUCUGAUACUGGCAAGCUUGAGUCUCGUAGAGGGGGGUAGAAUUC